RNAcentral lists this ribosomal RNA (454 nucleotides) under uncultured bacterium. RNAcentral's name for it is "partial 16S ribosomal RNA". It matches the Rfam family "Bacterial small subunit ribosomal RNA", at positions 28 to 507 of the family's 1533-position model. The record is from RNAcentral.
GAUGAACGCUGACAGAAUGCUUAACACAUGCAAGUCUACUUGAACUUCGGUUUGGGUGGCGGACGGGUGAGUAACGCGUAAAGAACUUGCCUCACAGUUAGGGACAACAUUUGGAAACGAAUGCUAAUACCUGAUAUUAUGAUUUUAGGGCAUCCUAGGAUUAUGAAAGCUAUAUGUGCUGUGAGAGAGCGUUGCGUCCCAUUAGCUAGUUGGAGAGGUAACGGCUCACCAAGGCGAUGAUGGGUAGCCGGCCUGAGAGGGUGAACGGCCACAAGGGGACUGAGACACGGCCCUUACUCCUACGGGAGGCAGCAGUGGGGAAUAUUGGACAAUGGACCAAAAGUCUGAUCCAGCAAUUCUGUGUGCACGAUGACGUUUUUCGGAAUGUAAAGUGCUUUCAGUUGGGAAGAAAAAAAUGACGGUACCAACAGAAGAAAUGACGGCUAAAUACGUG